This 436-nucleotide ribosomal RNA is filed under the name uncultured bacterium. RNAcentral's name for it is "bacterial SSU rRNA". It matches the Rfam family "Bacterial small subunit ribosomal RNA", at positions 954 to 1392 of the family's 1533-position model. The record is from RNAcentral.
AUGGGAACGCGAAGAACCUUACCUAGACUUGACAUCCCCUGAAUUACCAUGUAAUGUGGGAAGCCCUUCGGGGCAGGAAGACAGGUGGUGCAUGGUUGUCGUCAGCUCGUGUCGUGAGAUGUUGGGUUAAGUCCCGCAACGAGCGCAACCCUUAUUGUUAGUUGCUACCAUUAAGUUGAGCACUCUAGCGAGACUGCCCGGGUUAACCGGGAGGAAGGUGGGGAUGACGUCAAAUCAUCAUGCCCCUUAUGUCUAGGGCUACACACGUGCUACAAUGGCUGGUACAGAGAGAUGCUAAACCGCGAGGUGGAGCCAAACUUUAAAACCAGUCUCAGUUCGGAUUGUAGGCUGAAACUCGCCUACAUGAAGCUGGAGUUGCUAGUAAUCGCGAAUCAGAAUGUCGCGGUGAAUACGUUCCCGGGUCUUGUACACACCG